AGGCCUGAAGAGAGAAGCAGGGUCUGAUCCAUAGCCUCUGUGGCAGCUAUUGAUCAGCAUUUGCCUCUCUCUUUAGCCCCG
This is a non-coding RNA of Myotis lucifugus (little brown bat), 81 nucleotides long. NCBI's taxonomy places the organism in Eukaryota, Metazoa, Chordata, Mammalia, Chiroptera, Vespertilionidae. The record is from Rfam.